AAAGUCGUAACAAGGGUUUCCGUAGGUGAACCUGCGGAAGGAUCAUUAUUGAAUAAACUUGAACAAGCUGUUGCUGGCCCCUCUUGAAGGGAUAAGUGCACGCUUGUCAUCUUUAUUUUUCCAACUGUGCACAUAUUGUAGACUCUGGAUUUAGGAUUGCUGUUCAGCUUUGCCUUGCAUUUUUUCAGAUCUAUGUUAUUUUUCACAAUCUCUGAAUGUAUCAGAACGUUGAAUAUAUGUAUAUGUAUACAACUUUCAGCAAUGGAUCUCUUGGCUCUCGCAUCGAUGAAGAACGCAGCGAAAUGCGAUAAGUAAUGUGAAUUGCAGAAUUCAGUGAAUCAUCGAAUCUUUGAACGCAUCUUGCGCUCCUUGGUAUUCCGAGGAGCAUGCCUGUUUGAGUGUCAUUCAAGUUCUCAACUACAUCUUGAUAAUGGGGUGUGGCUUUGGAUGUGGGGAUUUGCAGGCUUUUUCAUUUUUUUUUGAAAAUGAAGUCUGCUUCCCUGAAAUGAAUUAGUGGUAUCUGAGCAGAGAUGACUACUACAGGUGUGAUAAAUUA
This 556-nucleotide ribosomal RNA is filed under the name Inocybe decemgibbosa. RNAcentral's name for it is "eukaryotic LSU rRNA". The stretch from base 251 to 404 matches the Rfam family "5.8S ribosomal RNA". Lineage: Eukaryota; Fungi; Basidiomycota; Agaricomycetes; Agaricales; Inocybaceae. The record is from RNAcentral.